UGAACUUUCCAGACCUUGGUUCCCCGCUAAGAAGAAAAGGAGCCCUGAAAGCCACCUUUGGUUACUGGCCUGAAAUGCCCUGAGGAACAUAAGCAACGUCAUGGAAUUUUUACAUCAGAUGAGGUCUCUAAUGAGAUGGAAGGUGAAGAAAAUAAGACUAAUUGUGUCUAAACAGAUAUACAGACACUGCAGCCACAAAAAGAUGACCAAACAUUCCUGCCCUAGCAAAGUGAUGAAGGGCAGCAUCUAAGUUUAUCUCCUUCCUGCUGUAUCCUGAGGAGCUGGAUGGUCCCCUGCCUGAAGGAAGAACCAAAGUAGUGUUGAAUUAAUAGAUAAAUGAAGCUAACUACUUUUUACAGUAAAGUGCUUUAAAAUGAAUAUGUAAUUGCAUUUAUUAAUCCUUGGGAAG
Molecule: long non-coding RNA, 409 nt
Filed under: Sus scrofa (pig)
Lineage: Eukaryota; Metazoa; Chordata; Mammalia; Artiodactyla; Suidae
Description: lncRNA (ENSSSCG00070014131.1)
Source: RNAcentral